Molecule: ribosomal RNA, 183 nt
Filed under: uncultured bacterium
Lineage: Bacteria
Description: partial 16S ribosomal RNA
Rfam family: Bacterial small subunit ribosomal RNA
Source: RNAcentral
CAUGAAGUCGGAAUUGCUAGUAAUCGCAGAUCAGCAUGCUGCGGUGAAUACGUUCCCGGGCCUUGUACACCACCGCCCGUCACACCAUGGGAGUCGGUAACACCCGAAGUCGGUAGCCUAACCGUAAGGAGGGCGCCGCCGAAGGUGGGAUUGAUGACUGGGGUGAAGUCGUAACAAGGUAGC